Non-coding RNA from Equus caballus (horse), 2598 nucleotides. NCBI's taxonomy places the organism in Eukaryota, Metazoa, Chordata, Mammalia, Perissodactyla, Equidae. The record is from RefSeq and is a predicted model, not a curated record.
CUUUGUCUGCAGCUGAAGAUGGUAUUUAAGAUGAGAACCUCCACCAUUGUGCCUGCUGCCUGGAAUGUGACAUGGUGUGGAGCCAUCUUGGACCAGAUGAAGCAACAGUCUAGGAAUGGAAGAGCUCAAGACAGAAGGAGCCUGGAUCCCCAACACCAAGGAGCCUCUGGAUCAACUCUGGAUUGCUAAUGCUUGGAGGGUUUCGUGAGAAAGAACUUCUAUCUUGUUUAUGUCAUUGUGACUUUGGUCUUUGUCCCAGUAGCUGAGUUUGCAUUCAACCUAACACACUUCCUGUUCCCUCUUCUCUUUUCCAGGCUGCAUUUGGAGACAGCGUAGGCUUAGGUAACUGGUCCCGUGGGAGGAGGGCCCUCUCCCCCAUGCUGUCCUCUAGGGCUUACUGGUCUCUGAUGCCUUGAGACUUGCCUGGACUACUUUCAGGCAUAUGGCCCUAGUGCCUACGAGGCUGGUCCCACUUGGGUGUUCAGGUGCUAAGUUGGGACUUGCUGCUGGCACCCUGCUGCUGCUCCACAGGUUGAUUCUGCACCUUUGUGCUUUAUGAGCCACCAGAAACUCUCAGCUGCUUUCUCCAAACCCUGCUGGGCUGCCAUCCAGCACGCCCGUCUUGACAACUUCCUCAGCCAUUUCUGAACUACCUCCUGAAUGUGGGCCUUUGCCAUGGGGCUGUGAAAAUUCCUGGCCUUUACUGGCCUUGAAAAUCCUUACAUCCUAGGACUUCCCCAUGAGCCUGUCUGAACCCUGGGAGCCCCUCCUUCCACAGCUGAACCUUGGGGUGGAGUGGAGUGGGGGGAGGAUUCGCAAUUUGGCCUCUAACCCGUUUCUCUCUCUCUUACUCUCCGGAGAGAAUUGGACACAUUUCGUCUUCUUGUUGGAUGUCAGUAAAUCCAGAUCAUAUUUUCCUCUUUUGCUACUCUGUGACCUUUUCAUACAUCUCUACGCUCUAUCCCCAUUGAUAAACUUCAAGGUUUCACUCAGUAGUUCUCAACUGGAGGUGAUUUUGUCCCCUGGAGGACAUUUGGCAAUGUCUGGAGCCAUUUUUGAGCGUCACAAUUGGCGGAAGUUCCCUGUGAGAUAAUAAUACCCAACAUUUGAGAAGUAGCAUUGCCUAGGGAUUAAAAGCACGAGAUUCUGGAACUAGACUGCCUGGUCUGGUUUCUGGCUCUGCCACUUUAGAGGUAUGUGACCUUCAGACAAUAACCUUAACCUUCCUGCCAUAACCUCUUUCAGUUGCUCUAUCUGUAGAGCUGGCGUGACAAUAACAGUGCCUAUCUCUCAUAGGGUUGCGACGAGGAUUAAAUGGUCUGCACCCUGGAAUCACCUGGAUGUCUUUAAAGAUUCCAAACCCGGGCCACCUGAAGACCAAUGACCUCAGAACAAUCUCUGGGGUGAGAGGCAUCAGUAUUUCUGAAGCUUCCCUAGGUGGUUCCAAUGUGCGGACAAGUUUGGAAACCAAUGGGUUAAAGCGCUCUGCACGCUGGUUUUGAUCCAUCGGUGGACACUUCCGGAAUCACUGCGUCUCCAGUCACCACGCAAUCUGGUACCCCUCCCAGCUCAUUGCACAGUCUGCUCCCCAGACUCCAGGAGCUAUUGGGCCCAGAAGCCCCGGCCGGUGCACGCUGGGACUUGUAGUCCUUCUGGUGCUACGACCUCGCCCACGCCUCCCAUUGGCUUUCGCAGACGCCCCGCCCCGAAGCUCCACCAAUCACCGCGGCGCAGUGAGCCCUCAAAACCGCGAGCGAGAGCGCUGCGCCGCAAUCACUGCAAGGCCGACGUCGGAGGAGUCCCGUCUGAGGCUGCGCGCCGCGAGGAAUUCCCACGGUCCUGCCGCCGCCGCCUCCGCGGUCUCCCGCCGCAGGUAACCGCGAGCCCCAGCGGGGGAUCCGGGCCGGACCCCACGUCCGGGGCCAGGGCCUCCCGUCCCUGCAGCUCUUGGCCUCGUGGCCGGGACUUUCAGUUCCCCCUGCCCUCUCUGAGUAAUCCGAUUCUCACCGUGCGAAGGAGAGAAUCCCGAGGGAAACCCUGCCACCUCUCAGCCGGCCAUCCUGUGGGCGUGGGUGAGGGCUCUCUUUUGUGGCGCUUGCUCUGACCGGAAGCCCAGGCUCCUCCUCCAAGCGGAGAGAGGGACCGGCCAGAGAGGAGAGGGCGUUUGCUAAGGUCCCAUAGCCGGGCUCUGGGGCGGGUUCCGAUCUUCAGUCUGUUAACCGGUUAGGCUUGAUGCUUUUAAUGCGGAGGAUCGCACUCGUUUCCAGCCAGUUCCCCGUAGACGGGCUGUUAACGACAACAAAAAUACCGAAACAUAUAAAAACAUUUUGAGAAGUGAGUCAAGGAAGCUCUAGUUCUCAGAGGCUGGAGCUGGUGGGAAUUACGGGAUGACUCGCAUCACCCAUGGAAGUGAAAGUUAGCUGGAUUUGGUCCCCUGCCCCUAACUUUUAAGAGUUGGGGUUAUACCUACAGGGGUUCUUCUUUGCCGAGAAUUGCAGAAUCUGGCAGCUGGAAGAAGGAACUUUGUGUCACGUGCUUCGUUUUAUGGAUGAAAAUAAAUGCCCAGGGUUUGAGACUAGCCCUGUGGUGUGUAGUGAG